This 1318-nucleotide long non-coding RNA is filed under the name Actinidia chinensis (golden kiwifruit). RNAcentral's name for it is "long non-coding RNA (ACHI_LNC009602)". The record is from RNAcentral. Lineage: Eukaryota; Viridiplantae; Streptophyta; Magnoliopsida; Ericales; Actinidiaceae.
CCUUGGCUAGAUUAAAAUAAGCUAUUGAACUUAUGGGUUCACCCAACACCAACAGAUCCUUGAAAAUUUGAGACACAAGACCAAUGUCAUUGCCUUCACCAGCUGCUGCCACAAGGAGAUCACAUGCAUUAGCACUAAGGUAGAUGUGUUUAUCGCAUAAGGACUGCAAUAGCCUAGUAGCAACAGAAAGAUUUCUAUAUUUAGACAGAUUUUCAAUGUAAGUAGUACAAAUAUCCUUGGCAGAUAUUGGAUCAUUCUCUAUAGCUAAAAGUAUUUGAUUCAAGAAUUCAUAAGUCAGUUCUGAAAGGAGACGCUUAUGUUGCUACUGACUGAUAAGUGCCAAUGGAAGUGUUCAUUACAGCUAAGAACGGACAGUGCCAGAUGGUUGUAAUAAAUUUCUGUAUUAGUAAUCCAAUCAUUAGUUUCAACCGAAGGGACUAAUCAAACAGUUGACAGGCAUCCAAACAAAUAAAAAAUGCAGUUGAAUGCACUGGUACGUAAAUGGUUAGUGAAUCCACAAACAAAUUAUUGAGAAUCUAAUUGAACACCGAAACAUUAGAAUCUAAAAGGUUCAAGAAUGUAUGUACAUAUGUUAUAGUGGAAGCAAAGCACUAACAAUGAGCUGGUAUAUGUGUCUGAUAUAUGCUUAAAAAUGUAGUCGUUAAUUUUAUUGAAGAAAAUAAUCAAAUAAUUGGUAGGCAUACAAAAGCGAUUUUAAAAGCCAAAGAAAAACGGCAAUUGAAUGCCACAGGAAGUGAAAAUGGAUUUUGAACUCACAUAAGUUAAUUGUUUUGUGAGUCUGAGAUGGUGUUGAACUCUGAAAAAGGUAGUAUCAACCAGGUCCAUAGCAUAUAUGCGUAUUUACAGAUGCUUAUGGGUAGAGAAAGAGAGAAAACAAAGCACUUACAACGUGCAGGUGAUGUCUUCUGGUUCGCAAUGCGUGAGAAGAUGUUACGAGGCAGACAUCAACAAAUUUAUUAACCCACAACGUUCUGUUCCCUUUUUCCGGCUCCCUGAUGAGACGACAAAUCUGGCAAUUCAAACAUGCCUUGCACUGGGUAUUGGAAAUGUAUGAGUCGGGUUUGCGUUGGGAGAGUUGUUUGAACCAAUUAGAAGCAGAGAGCAUUCUAAGGUUCCCCGGAAAGGUAUGAGAUUGUGCUUGCUAGGUUAGUGUUUAUGAAGAGCAGUUGUAAAUCGAUGACCAUCAAAUCCUGACGAAUCAGGGCUGGGGCUGGGAGCUUCUAAACGUAAAUUAAUCAGGUCUCCGGACACCCCUAGAGCCAAAACUCAAGACUUCGUAAUUACCAAUGCAAAGAAU